GCAUUUUGUGGUUUUUCUUGUUUGGGGAGUUUAGGUUCUCUUCUCUCUUCUCUGUUGUUAUUAGAGGAAAAGAGAGAAAGAAAGUCUGUUGGUUGAUCUUAUUCUCUACGGCACAUCUUUUUCAUGAGAAAGAAUUGAAAUAAUGUACCAUGGGUUGAUUCCUUGAGUCAGAAGAAACUGCGAACUAAGAGUUCAAACUUUGUAGUAUGUCAGCAAAGAAGAAAGAUCUUUUGUCCUCAGCCAUGAAGAGAACUAGUGAAUAGUUUUUCUAUUCUUUUGAGGAUUGCUCUGUUUCUCCGGCGAGGACGGGGCGGUGGCGCUUAGAGUGACUCGAGGAGAGGAGAUGGAGAGUGAUCGGACGGUUGAGGAUGAGGUGUAGAGAGAGAUCGAAGGGUGAGCAAGUGAUAAUAAUCUUGAAGAUGAACGGCGGAGAGAGAUAAGAGAGUGGUGAAGAAGCGGCGGUGGUUGAGAGGGGAUGGAGAGUGUAACUCUCCAUCGUUGUCCUAUCAUGUUAUUGUUAAUUCCCAGUUUUCACCGGACAACAAAGGAGAUUGAAUUUAUUUUUCUGUUUGACGUUUCUCCGUUUACAUGCUUAAGUACAAACGAAUCAUCAUCAUGUCUGAACGACACAUACUAACAUAAGAGAGUGAUGCUUGUGGAGCUAGCUUACUUAAGAGUUAUUAUUGUUAAGUUAGACAUUCAAAUCAUGUUCCUCACUUCUCUAUUUCUAUCGCCAUAGUUUAUCUUUUAACAAACCACCCUCUCAUGGC
RNAcentral lists this long non-coding RNA (770 nucleotides) under Brassica napus (rape). Its description in RNAcentral is "long non-coding RNA (BNAP_LNC001893)". The record is from RNAcentral. Lineage: Eukaryota; Viridiplantae; Streptophyta; Magnoliopsida; Brassicales; Brassicaceae.